RNAcentral lists this ribosomal RNA (516 nucleotides) under Triticum aestivum (bread wheat). RNAcentral describes it as "partial small subunit ribosomal RNA". The record is from RNAcentral. Lineage: Eukaryota; Viridiplantae; Streptophyta; Magnoliopsida; Poales; Poaceae.
AUGGUUUUAGGGGACUUCAAUGAAAUAUUAUACUCAUCAGAGAAGGACGGGGGCCCCCCUCGCCAACAGUUCUGUUUGCAGGUGUUCCAAGACGCCUUAUCUGAUUGCUCAUUAGAGGAUGUUGGAUAUAAUGGAGAUAAAUUCACAUGGUUUCGUGGGGGCUUACGUGAGAGGCUGGAUCGAGCGGUUACUAAUGCCGCUUGGCUUCUGUUGCACCCGUCCACUGGACUUAGUAAUUUGGACAUGGGCAAGUCAGACCACCGACCGAUUCUUAUGGAUACCGAGUAUCUAACAGGAGUGGCAGCCAUCAACCCUAUAAGAGAGAAGAAAUUCGAAAUGAGAUGGUUGGCAGAAGAAUUAGUAAAUGAGAUUAUUAACACGGCAUGGCAGAAGGCCGUGCACCAUGGUCUGUGUCCUACGAUCACCGAUAAACUCGCGGCUGUACACAAUGAUUUGCAUGACUGGGAUCGUAGGGUUUUGAGGAAACCGCAAGCGAGAUUGAAGUCAGCUCGCUGA